This 273-nucleotide ribosomal RNA is filed under the name uncultured prokaryote. Its description in RNAcentral is "partial 16S ribosomal RNA". It matches the Rfam family "Bacterial small subunit ribosomal RNA", at positions 524 to 796 of the family's 1533-position model. The record is from RNAcentral.
UACGGAGGGUGCAAGCGUUAUCCGGAUUCACUGGGUUUAAAGGGAGCGUAGGUGGGCAGGUAAGUCAGUGGUGAAAUCUCCGGGCUUAACCCGGAAACUGCCAUUGAUACUAUCUGUCUUGAAUAUCCUGGAGGUAAGCGGAAUAUGUCAUGUAGCGGUGAAAUGCUUAGAUAUGACAUAGAACACCCAUUGCGAAGGCAGCUUACUACGGGAUGAUUGACACUGAGGCUCGAAAGCGUGGGGAUCAAACAGGAUUAGAAACCCCAGUAGUCC